Molecule: non-coding RNA, 45 nt
Organism: Schistosoma mattheei
Lineage: Eukaryota; Metazoa; Platyhelminthes; Trematoda; Strigeidida; Schistosomatidae
Source: Rfam
AUCUAACUGACGAGUCCCAAAUAGGACGAAACGGGCUUCCUGGAU